RNAcentral lists this ribosomal RNA (407 nucleotides) under uncultured bacterium. Its description in RNAcentral is "partial 16S ribosomal RNA". It matches the Rfam family "Bacterial small subunit ribosomal RNA", at positions 28 to 526 of the family's 1533-position model. The record is from RNAcentral.
GACGAACGCUGGCGGCGUGCCUAAUACAUGCAAGUAGAACGCAGUUGCGAACGGGUGAGUAACGCGUAUGUAACUGCCUCAUAGCGGGGGAUAACUAAUGGAAACGUUAGCUAAUACCGCAUCCUUUGAGCUGGAUCUGCGUUGUAUUAGCGAGUUGGUGAGGGAAAGGCUCACCAAGGCGACGAUAAAUAGCCGACCUGAGAGGGUGAUCGGCCACACUGGGACUGAGACACGGUCCAGACUCCUACGGGAGGCAGCAGUGGGGAAUAUUGCACAAUGGGCGAAAGCCUGAUGCAGCCAUGCCGCGUGUAUGAAGAAGGUCUUCGGGUUGUAAAGUACUUUCAGCGGGGAGGCGUUACCCGAAGAAGAAGCACCGGCUAACUCCGUGCCAGCAGCCGCGGUAAUAC